This is a long non-coding RNA of Xiphophorus couchianus (Monterrey platyfish), 278 nucleotides long. RefSeq lists it as uncharacterized. The transcript has 3 exons. The record is from RefSeq and is a predicted model, not a curated record. Lineage: Eukaryota; Metazoa; Chordata; Actinopteri; Cyprinodontiformes; Poeciliidae.
CUGUUGUGGUUCGGGGUUCCUUUGGUUCUUUUGUGGGUUUUUCUGUGCAUACACUCACCUUUCACGACAGAUGGCGCCAUACUCACCCGACUGGAGUGUGUGUGUAGACCGCCAUCAAGCACACCUGAACCUGAUCAACUCAUCAGCGGCGUGUACUAAAGGAGGCUCCUGCCAGUCCUUCAGCGCCCGAGUGUUAGCCAGAAACGGUACCUCUGAGCCUCCUAGAACUAGCCUCUGAUCUUUCCUCGUUGAUCUGAAUCCUCAAGUGUCUUUUCCUG